CGGCUGGGGCUCACCUGGGGACCACGUGCGGAGUGUGUGGGAACAGUGUAACCUGAACAAGAACGUAGUGUCUAUAGGAUGAGUGACACUUGGAAGCAGAGGCAGAGUGCUACAUGGACACCUGACUGUACCAAAUGGUUAUUGUGUUUUCUCAAUCAGACGCCAAUUGCGGAAUACCAGCUGAUAUUCUACCCUCAACUCAUGCUAAAAGCUUUCUAGUCUUUCUCAAGGAAACCUGUCCAAAGGGAUAUGUGAUCCCAGGAAUUAUUAUUGUAUAAGUAAUACUUGGAUGUUUUUACUAAUAGUUCACACAUUUCACAGCCCUUUGGUGGAGAGCCUUUUUCGUUAAUGUUCUGUUCAAGAAUAAUUGCAUAGUAUUUAUAAUCCUCUCAGGGAUUAAGUAUAGAU
This 408-nucleotide long non-coding RNA is filed under the name Homo sapiens (human). RNAcentral describes it as "HSALNT0377077". The record is from RNAcentral. Lineage: Eukaryota; Metazoa; Chordata; Mammalia; Primates; Hominidae.